This 30-nucleotide non-coding RNA is filed under the name Callithrix jacchus (white-tufted-ear marmoset). The record is from RNAcentral. RNAcentral also lists the same sequence under 1 other name. Lineage: Eukaryota; Metazoa; Chordata; Mammalia; Primates; Cebidae.
UCCAACGUCACUGAUGAUAUGCGGAUUGCC